UACAGAGGUGGCAAGCGUUGUUCGGAAUUACUGGGCGUAAAGGGCGCGUAGGUGGUCUUGUAAGUCCUGUGUGAAAUCCCUCGGCUCAACUGAGGAACUGCACAGGAGACUGCUCGACUUGAGUUCGGGAGAGGGACGCGGAAUUCCGGGUGUAGCGGUGAAAUGCGCAGAUAUCCGGAGGAACACCGGUGGCGAAGGCGGCGUCCUGGACCGACACUGACACUGAGGCGCGAAAGCUAGGGGAGCAAACGGG
This 253-nucleotide ribosomal RNA is filed under the name uncultured bacterium. RNAcentral's name for it is "partial 16S ribosomal RNA". It matches the Rfam family "Bacterial small subunit ribosomal RNA", at positions 524 to 776 of the family's 1533-position model. The record is from RNAcentral.